GAUGAACGCUGGCGGCGUGCCUAAUACAUGCAAGUCGAGCGAACGGACGAGAAGCUUGCUUCUCUGAUGUUAGCGGCGGACGGGUGAGUAACACGUGGAUAACCUACCUAUAAGACUGGGAUAACUUCGGGAAACCGUAGCUAAUACCGGAUAAUAUUUUGAACCGCAUGGUUCAAAAGUGAAAGACGGUCUUGCUGUCACUUAUAGAUGGAUCCGCGCUGCAUUAGCUAGUUGGUAAGGUAACGGCUUACCAAGGCAACGAUGCAUAGCCGACCUGAGAGGGUGAUCGGCCACACUGGAACUGAGACACGGUCCAGACUCCUACGGGAGGCAGCAGUAGGGAAUCUUCCGCAAUGGGCGAAAGCCUGACGGAGCAACGCCGCGUGAGUGAUGAAGGUCUUCGGAUCGUAAAACUCUGUUAUUAGGGAAGAACAUAUGUGUAAGUAACUGUGCACAUCUUGACGGUACCUAAUCAGAAAGCCCCGGCUAACUACGUG
This 497-nucleotide ribosomal RNA is filed under the name uncultured bacterium. RNAcentral describes it as "partial 16S ribosomal RNA". It matches the Rfam family "Bacterial small subunit ribosomal RNA", at positions 28 to 507 of the family's 1533-position model. The record is from RNAcentral.